GAUGAACGCUGGCGGCGUGCCUAAUACAUGCAAGUCGAGCGAACAGACGAGGAGCUUGCUCCUCUGACGUUAGCGGCGGACGGGUGAGUAACACGUGGAUAACCUACCUAUAAGACUGGGAUAACUUCGGGAAACCGGAGCUAAUACCGGAUAAUAUAUUGAACCGCAUGGUUCAAUAGUGAAAGACGGUUUUGCUGUCACUUAUAGAUGGAUCCGCGCCGCAUUAGCUAGUUGGUAAGGUAACGGCUUACCAAGGCAACGAUGCGUAGCCGACCUGAGAGGGUGAUCGGCCACACUGGAAGUGAGACACGGUCCAGACUCCUACGGGAGGCAGCAGUAGGGAAUCUUCCGCAAUGGGCGAAAGCCUGACGGAGCAACGCCGCGUGAGUGAUGAAGGUCUUCGGAUCGUAAAACUCUGUUAUUAGGGAAGAACAAAUGUGUAAGUAACUAUGCACGUCUUGACGGUACCUAAUCAGAAAGCCACGGCUAAUUACGUG
RNAcentral lists this ribosomal RNA (497 nucleotides) under uncultured bacterium. RNAcentral's name for it is "partial 16S ribosomal RNA". It matches the Rfam family "Bacterial small subunit ribosomal RNA", at positions 28 to 507 of the family's 1533-position model. The record is from RNAcentral.